AGAGUUUGAUCAUGGCUCAGGAUGAACGUUGGCGGCGUGCCUAACACAUGCAAGUCGAACGGGAAGCUGAUUUUCGAAUUGGUGGAGAGUGGCGCACGGGUGCGUAACACGUAGCUUACCUGCCCCGAAGACCGGGAUAACCUGCGGAAACGUGGGCUAAUACCGGAUAAGCUCACGCUUUGUAGAGGAGUGUGAGAGAAGCUUUAGUGCUUUGGGAUGGGGCUGCGGCCCAUCAGCUAGUUGGUAGGGUAAAAGCCUACCAAGGCGACGACGGGUAGGGGGCCUGAGAGGGUGGCCCCCCACACUGGGACUGAGACACGGCCCAGACUUCUACGGAAGGCAGCAGUGAGGGAUAUUGCGCAAUGGGCGAAAGCCUGACGCAGCGACGCCGCGUGGGUGAAGAAGGUUUUCGGAUCGUAAAGCCCUUUUCUGUGUGACGAUAAUGACGGUAGCACAGGAAGAAGUGUCGGCUAACUACGUGCCAGCAGCCGCGGUAAAACGUAGGACGCGAACGUUAUCCGGAAUUACUGGGCGUAAAGGGCGCGCAGGCGGUGGAUUAAGUUAGGCAUGAAAGCUCCCUGGCUAAACCGGGAGAGGAUGUCUGAUACUGAUUUACUAGAGUGUGUUAGAGGGGUGUAGAAUUCCGCGUGUAGUGGUGAAAUGCGUAGAGAUGCGGAGGAAUACCAGUGGCGAAGGC
This 697-nucleotide ribosomal RNA is filed under the name uncultured bacterium. Its description in RNAcentral is "bacterial SSU rRNA". It matches the Rfam family "Bacterial small subunit ribosomal RNA", at positions 8 to 722 of the family's 1533-position model. The record is from RNAcentral.